RNAcentral lists this ribosomal RNA (428 nucleotides) under uncultured bacterium. Its description in RNAcentral is "bacterial SSU rRNA". It matches the Rfam family "Bacterial small subunit ribosomal RNA", at positions 355 to 775 of the family's 1533-position model. The record is from RNAcentral.
UGGGGAAUCUUGCGCAAUGCGCGAAAGCGUGACGCAGCAAUGCCGCGUGGGGGAAGAAGGCCUUCGGGUUGUAAACCUCUUUCAGGAGGGACGAAGCUGCGGCGGCGAACAGCCGACCGCAGUGACGGUACCUCCAGAAGAAGCCCCGGCUAACUACGUGCCAGCAGCCGCGGUAAUACGUAGGGGGCAAGCGUUGUCCGGAAUCAUUGGGCGUAAAGCGCACGUGGGCGGCCCGGUAAGUCCGCUCUGAAAGUCAGAGGCUCAACCUCUGGAGGCGAGUGGAUACUGCCGGGCUGGAGUCCGGAAGAGGCGAGUGGAAUUCCUGGUGUAGCGGUGGAAUGCGCAGAUAUCAGGAGGAACACCAAUGGCGAAGGCAGCUCGCUGGGACGGUACUGACGCUGAGGUGCGAAAGCGUGGGGAGCAAACAG